CGGCGCGUGGCCAAAUCGGAUAAGGCACCGCACUACGAAUGCGGAAACUGAAGGUUCGAGUCCUUCCGCGCCGA
RNAcentral lists this transfer RNA (74 nucleotides) under Myxococcales bacterium. Its description in RNAcentral is "tRNA-Arg". It matches the Rfam family "tRNA". From Rfam's summary of the family: Transfer RNA (tRNA) molecules are approximately 80 nucleotides in length. Their secondary structure includes four short double-helical elements and three loops (D, anti-codon, and T loops). Lineage: Bacteria; Pseudomonadati; Myxococcota; Myxococcia; Myxococcales. The record is from RNAcentral.